Molecule: ribosomal RNA, 255 nt
Filed under: uncultured bacterium
Lineage: Bacteria
Description: partial 16S ribosomal RNA
Rfam family: Bacterial small subunit ribosomal RNA
Source: RNAcentral
UACGUAGGGGGGCGAGCGUUGUCCGGAUUUAUUGGGCGUAAAGAGCUCGUAGGCGGUUUGGCAAGUCGGGUGUGAAAACUCCGGCUCAACUCGGAGACGCCACUCGAUACUGCUAUGACUCGAGUCCGGUAGGGGAGUGCGGAAUUCCUGGUGUAGCGGUGAAAUGCGCAGAUAUCAGGAGGAACACCGGUGGCGAAGGCGGCACUCUGGGCCGGUACUGACGCUGAGGAGCGAAAGCGUGGGGGAGCGAACAGG